CAUUCUGUGUCUGCAUUCUUCUCUGCGACUUAGGCUAUUUCUUGGUUAAACUCUCAAGCCUUUUAAAAAGCAUGCAGUGUUCAAGCAAAUAUUGUUUACAACUCUAGACUGGUUAAAACUAUAUGCUAACUAAUUGUACUGUAAAUGGCAUAAGAUAAGCUAGUUUUUGUAUAAAGCUUAUUUUUCUAAAUUAUUAAGUUUCAACAUAUUUAUUAUAUUUAUACAAACUUAUUACAUUGUACAUUAGGAUGCAUCAUGCCAAUGCAAGUGACUUUAUGCAAUGUAUAAUUUCCUAUAUGUUUGGUCAUUAAAACUGCAAACAAUUUUUAAAAUUUCUGAUAGGUUAUAUACUAUUAGCCUCAGAUUUUCAUAAAUUCUCAUUCUUGGAAUAUUCACUUAAUAACAAAACUCUUUAUAAAUGUUUCACUGAGAGAUGUAUUAUACCCCUUAGUUGUGAUGGUUAAUAUGUUCUUCACCUGAACUAUAAACACUUACCUGUCAUUUCCACUGUCAGCUAUGAAUGACAUAUUUUCCAAUAUUAGUAUUUAGGACAUCAUAAUGGGAACUAACUAAAAAUUUACUAAUUUGGGCUACCACCAAAAUUCACUUCUCAUUUCCAUGUUGAGAACUGAGUCACUCGUUUCUCCAGGAUACAGUUGCUGAGCAUCUACUAUGGCACACAGCUCAUUUCCCAAAGCUAGACGUAGAACAAAGCCACGCCGACGACACCAGCAGAACAACACCGAUGACUGCGGCUUACAUCCUGGUGAGCCAGAGGCAGUCUCUGUUUGGAAAAUAAUGCUACAGUCUAUAGUUGAGCUGAUGCUUAAUUAAGGAGACAGAUUUGCAGCAUGUUCUCACCAAUGGUGGUCUUUAUCUUCCAUUGUUGUGCUCCUACCACAGUUAUUGGGUGGAUGAGUGUUUCCUUACCUCUCUCUGGAAUCCUUGAGAAACAGUAACAACCCGUCUGGUGGAAAAGCAUAGUGAGUAAUUUAGUGAAUGGAAUUACAAUGACUGAUAUGGAAACUAGAAUGUUUUAUGGAUAAAUAAUGCAUAUUAUACAAAAUAAAAUAUCUAAUGAAAGUAUAAUACACUUAUUCAAACUAUAACCUACAUAAUAUUUAAUAUGCAGAAGGAAGAGAUUGCUUGUUAUCUGUCUGACCGGCAUUUUAUAAUCAUAAUUACACACAAAACACUAACUUUAUUCAGCAUAUUAAAUGUCUAAUAGGAGGAUUAUAUUCUGUUGAUUCUUUCCAUUUAUUGUGACUCAGGAGAUAUAAAUAAAAUUAUUAUUUAAGAUUUUUUUGGAAUGCCUCCAAUAUAGAAAUUUAAAAGAAACCUGGGCAGUGACCUUCCAUAGAUUUCCCUUUUUAUGCAUUUCUUUGCGGGGACAGGAUAGAGGCAUGCUGUCCCCAAACAGCUCAAGUUCUUAAAUGAACAUCAAAACCGAUACAAUGGGUCAGAGUUGGGCAUCAAAAAAUAUAAAAUUCCAUGUCUCUCAAGGCCUUAGGGUUCUUUUGCCAGCCUGUCAAUCUGUUUUGCAGUUAUUCAUAUGAGAAAAAUGCACAGUGCUAUUAAAAAUUAAUCUAGCUUCAAUGCACUGUAAGUGAAAGAAAUGAGGGAGGAGAAGCCAGACAGUUGAUAUGUGAACAAGGAAAAAGUAACAUAAUGAUGAAGAUGGAUGACAAACGGCAUGCUGGUUAGAAGAGCCAUUGUGAAAACAUGAUCAAAAGCACAAUGUGACGACGUGAUUUACAGGAGUCACCUAAACAGCAGGAGAUACAUGUGUUGCUUGAUGUGUAUUAGUGUGUAUUUUUAAGGAUGCAUGGUUUUUGAAUAGUAUGAAUAAUUUUUUAUAGAUGUUGAAAUAGGAACAAUGCUGGAAUGACUAAUAGAGAUAUUGAGUAUUUCACAAGUAGAAUGCUAGAAAUAGCUGAGCAUGAGAUGCCAGUUGAUGAGAACAUCUUCCAAAUCAUUUUGGCAAGAAAUAAGGGAAGGCUUGGGUCCUAUAAAUACAUGGUGUCCAUGAGCCCUCAUUGCAAAAUGUCUGUGUGUUUUCCUUAGUUCCCUCUUUACUAAGGUGAAUUUCACCAAGCAGAUAGUUAUUUGUUUUAAAGUGAGAAGUCAGUAGUGUUUACUGGGCUCACAGUGAGGUGUCACCAUCGUUGCCUGAUUCCAAAGCAUUCUAAUCAACCAGAACAAAACCCCAUAGCCACAAGGCAGUCAUUCUCCAUUUCCCUUCCUCUAACUCCUGAGCUUCACCAAUCUCUUUUUGUCCCUAUGGAUUUAUCUUUUCUGCAUCAUUUAUGCAAAUGGAAUGAUAUAAUUUUCUCCAAGAAUGUUUUAGAAUUGUACCCACACUGUAUUAUGUAUCCAUAACUUAAGCCUUUUAUGGCUGAAUAUUUAUUCAUUUCUGAAUGUUACUUCUUGUUUUGUAUGAAUAAUAAUGUGAAAUUUUCCUUAAAUGAUUUUAUUUGUAUUUCUCCCGUAUCUACCAAGUACUUACUGGCUCUAAAUAAACCAUCUUCUCCUUUUCCUUCAGUGUUCUUGCCUAUGCUAAUUCAAUUACCUAAGUUACAUUCCUGUUGCACCCCAAGUUACUUGGCUAAUCAGAUUGUUAUGUUAUCCCUCCCAACCUAUUCGACCAACUAGAUGUGAAGCCCUCAGACAAAAGGCCAAUAACAACAUUUCUGCCAUGUCAGAGUUAUUUCUUGUGAUUGAAAACUUUUUAAGGCGAAAUCAUGCAAUGUAUUUCUAUAUCACCCUAUGAGGGAUCCAAACAUUUGUUACUAUGGCUAAAUAUAAUUUAAAUAUUUUUACAGCAAAUUAGAACCCAAUUCCCGUUUAUAAAAUGAUUACCGACAUAGUCUAUUAAUUUAUUUCUAGGGCCAAGAAGAUGGGCAGGAUAGAUAGUAGUAUUCCUGCAUUAUUAUUGUUAAUUUUUCAGACUUAAAUUCUUACUCAAAGACUCACUUUCUGAUAGCAAUUGCCAGGGCUAAGGUUGAAACCCGAGCUUGCACUUAUACAGUGGGCAUGACUUUCUCUUUUAAAACUAGAUUUACUUUGAAGCCUUUGGCUUAAAUGCUACAAACUCAAUUAAACUGAGAUCUGGGGGACUUGGCUAGGGAAAAGAUGUUCAUGAUGGGAGUGGAAAAUUACUGCUUGCUCUCAGUUUCAUAGGACCAUAAAACAGCUUCAGGGAUUUCCAUUAUUUUAUUGAUGGACUCCUUAAAUUGCAUUUUACUUAUCUCUCUCCCUAUUCACAAAAAUCCCUAAAGAUCCUGUGGUGUGAUUUCAUACCUUCUUCCCUCUUGGGACAGUGUGACCUUUUCGUGCCCUCACCAUGCUGAAGGAUGAGCAUAACUUACUAGUCCCUCAUUGCUUCUCAUGCUGAUAUGACACUACACCAUUUUAAUGUUUAGCGGUCUUGAACUGAAAGUGACCUCAAGAGUUGGGGAAGGGAUUACGUUCAGUAGCUCAUAGACCUGUCUCGAGGUUGUGCUGUAACUCACACGUGCUUAGUUCCCACUAACAAGGCUCCCACUAAAAUUUAUUUCACUAUUGCUCUCUUGAAUCACCCCACCUCCUCAGUCUCAAGGGUCGAUUACUAAAUAUAAGCAUGGAUGACCAGCGAUAAUGGUCGACGAUAGAAAGUUACUCAUCUUUAGUGUAUAUUCUAUUCAAUAAAUUUAAAGCAUUGGCUAUUUCAGAAUUCUAAGAGGACAAGUAUUUGAAACCAAAAAUAUGAAAGAUAGAUACUGCCUUCUGUACUUAUAUUGAGGAAUGCUUUUUCAGGUGCAAAGAAACAAAAUUUCUCUAAAUGGCACGGAUUAGGAAAGGAGAGUAUCAUAUUUACACUAAAGGUAUUUAGAAAGUGAAAACUAUCGCCAGUCAUAGUGGUGGGCAUCCAGACUGAGCUGAGGUUUAGCAUUGUUUUCCUACUUCCCCUGUGUUAAAAAUCAAAUGUCUCUCUACACAUGUGAACAUUUCUCUCUCUUCUGUGUUGAUAGGGAUGGCUAGCAUUGUAUGCUUGGCAUAAUCUAGAAAAUGCAAGGUAACACACUUCAGGGCGUAUUUGUAAGGAAGAUUCCGAAAUGAGAUAACUAAGUCCAAGAAUUACCCCAAGGGAAUGCUAUGGUACUCCUUCUAAAGUAAGCAUUCCAACAGCAAUGAGAGAGGAAUACAGGGGAUGUAUUCAUUAGUGGACUGGUAGUCUCAGCAACAGCGCACAUAGCAAGCACAGAUCAGGUUGCGAACAGAGGUCUGUGUUGAUACUCCAGCUUUCUCUUGUGUUCCAGGAUGCUUCUCCUCUGUGGUCCUCUUCCAAUCUCAGGGAAGUCAAGGCUAAAGCUGAAGCAGGAACCUGGAGGCAGGUGCUGAAGUAGAGACCAUGGAGAAACGCUGAUUACUGAUUUACUUUCAAUGGCCUAAGCGGCUUGCGGUCUUCUACAACCAAGGCGUUCUCACUCCCAAAUCAAACGUUUAUUAAGAAAAGGCCCAAAGGCAAGCCUGCUGGCCAAUCUUAUGGAGACAUUUCCCCAGUUGAAGUGCACUCUUAGCUUCCUGACUGUGGAUCAAGAUGUGAGCUGUUACUGUCACCAUGUCUACUGCUUGGCUGCUGAGCUUCCCUGUAUGGCAAGUAACUGACUCCCCUCUGAAACUGGAAACUCCAAGUAAACUCUUUCCUCUUUUUCUAUAAGAUGACUUGAUCACGGUGUUUUAUCACAGCUAAAUAAACCAGACAGUGUCAAUAAACACAGGUUUUCCUAGAUAUGUUCAGACAAUAAUUAACUGUAAUACAAAUUGAGCACCAUGAAAGCAUUCUUGGUUGUCAACUUGAUUACAAAUGGAAUUAACUAAAGGGAAGUGACUCAGUGCACGACUUUUUUUUUAUAAUUAAAUCAUUUGAAGUGGUAAAAUCUUCUUUUUUAGUCCCAAUCUUCUGAAGUGGGAAGAUACACCUUUAAUCCAGACCUUUUAGCUGGGAAUAUCUACCUUCAAUCUGGGCCAACCCCUCUCUUGGAAGCCUAUAUAAGGAAAAUGGAAGAAGGAAGCAUGCUCUCUUUGCCUGUUUGCUCUUGCUCACAAACCCCUGAUACUAAUAUAAAUAAAAGUGAAUGGAAAUAGUUACUAAAAGUUAUUUAAUAUUAUUAAACAGUCAAAGUAGUUUGAAAGUUUGAAAUUCCAAAAUUCACUGGCACUUCCCAAACUCCCUGUCAACUAUAUUUAUCGUCAGGAAGAUCCUAAGUCUGCAUAUGCUUCCUCAAGGAGUGGGAGGAGAGGGAAGGUGGAGAAUAACUAAGAGUAAAUCUUUUGGGAGAAGUAUCUCCUAAAUUAGCAAAUUUCAUUGAAUUUUCCAGACAGAUGAGUUUUUGCUUUUAGAUUGCUCUUCUUUGUCACUUAAAAUAUAGCUGUGCUUCUGAGUUCUCUCACUUCCUUUCUUAACACAAAUGCAUUUUAAAGAAUCCUCUCCUUAUAUAAACUUUUGAAAUGGUAAAAUAUGGUUCAGAUAGUUACAUUAAUUUCUCUUUUCUGGCAUCUAGUUCUAAUCAUUUUUUUGGGAAGUUGAACGCUACUCUCCACUAGUCAGCAUGCCAAACAUUGACUCUCAUGUUUAUUUUAUAGUUAGAUGCUUGUUUUUGAAAUUUUAGGUUGGAUAAUAAUACAGAAAACCAAACUGCUUUCCAAUGGAAGCAUUAUUUAGUGAUUUAGACAAAGCAGGACAAUGGCUUUGAGGUAGACUCAAGAUGGAAAGGUCUCUUAAGCAUCGUGGUACCACCUUUGUCCUUUUAUACACAGGUACAUUUUGUCUACCCCUCUAUGUCCUCCCUCAUUUACUCAAAAUCAUUAACUUAUUUUUCAUUUCUAAAACCUACAACUUAUUUUCUGUUUCUAAAUUCUGCUGUUUCUAAACUGUCAAAUUCAUAGAACCACACAGCAUAUGAUUCAUGGGAAUAGUCUGUUAGUUUUUCAUCAUCAUUCUCUGGACAUUUAUAUGAACUAUAUUAACAGCUGAGUCCUUUAGCAUCAGAUUCAUUGAUUCCAAUAUGCCACAAAUCACUCUGCAUCAGCUUUUGAAGAAUAUCUAUGUAUACUGUUUGCAUCAUACUCAUGUUUUUGUAUGAACAAAUCUUGCCAUUGGCUACAGUGAAUAGCCCAAACUAUAUUUGCUCAGGUGUAUGACACAUAAAUAUUUAGAAGAAAGAAGUGAAACUGUUGUCUUCCAACUGAUUAAGAUAUUUACUAAAUAAGUGGUAGACGUUUGUAAGAAAAUAGUUCUUUUUCUAUACAAUUAAGUAAUUUGAAUAUGCUGUGGUUCAUUUUUUAACUCAACCUACCACAAAUUAAAAAAGUCCUCUUGAGUGGAAACCUCCGUUUGUAUUUAUUGAUGGUGGAAGACGUGUCUGAUUGUGAGCAGCAACUUCAAACAGCAGCCCAGCCAGAGGGUGUGGGUCAGGACGAAGAUCGCUUGCCUUUUGUUCCCUUUGCCUUGCCUCUCAUCACGGACCUGAUUUACUGGUGCUGCAUCUGAUUUUUUUUUGUUUUGCUGAUAUUUGAGCCAGUGUUUCCAGCCUUCCAUUGGGGUGUAAGACCCAGCCAUUCUCCUGGAAGCUUCCAGGUUAUCAGCACUGGAUUGGACUGCUGAGAUACCCAGCUUGUGGACCAAUUACCUGAUUCUCAGCAUCUCAAAUAUGAUUCAGCUGUUGGCACAAUUUUAAUAUAUGUUGACCUAAUAAAUUCACACAUGCAAACACACACACACACACACUUCCUUUGUAUCUCCAAAGAACCUGAGUAUACAUACAUUCUAGCUCUAGAAAAAUAAAAUGUACAUUGAUAUUCUAUAUCCCAAAAUAUACUUGUCAGAGAAAGACACCAAAUUGGAUGUCAGAGAAAGACACCAAAUUAGACAUGUUAUUGGAUUAAACAUGUUCAAUAAUAUCCUCACUAUUUUGAAGCACAUACACAAAAUAUCCACAAAUGAUGUACAAUUCCCCUCUGUGUGCUGUGAAUAUGUUUUAUUACCAUUGGUUGAUGAAUGAAGUAGUUUUGGCCAAUGACUUAGCAAAGCAAAGCCAGGUGGUAAUUUGAACAGAGAUCAAGAGAGUGGGGGAGUCAAAGACAAGCCCUGCAGCUGCCAAAGGAUAAGAACCUGGAAUUUUUCCUGUAAGUCACAGCCUCAUGGCAACACAGAUUAAUAGAAAUGGUUAGGUUAAGAUCUAAGAGUUAAUUACUAAGAAGCCUGAGCUAAUAGUUUAAAGAGUGUAAAUUGAUAUAGCUAAUUAAUGAAUAUCUAAUAUUAAUUUUAAUAUAGAUGUUCAUUAAUUAAUAUAGUUUCUGUGUGAUUAUUUCAGUCUAUGCAGCCUGGAAACAAAAAAGCAGUCACUUACUACACUCAAAACUACUCAAAGUCCCACUAAGAUUAAAAUCAAUAAACAAUUUAUGUUUUUUGUGCACAACAGACAACUAGCCAACAAUGAUAACAAAUGACCUUUAUUAUAAAUCAUUACAGAAAUAUUUCCUAAAUGUAAUUUUAAAUGCAGUAUGCUAGACAGAAAAUAAGUAUAGAGCAUGUAUAAUCAAUUUAUACAUAAUACAAAAGCAUAAAAAGAGGUAUAAUUUGUUUAUGCAGUUAGGAAUCAUGAGCUUAGUUAUUCUUGGCUAAGAAUGACUGAGAGUGAACAGAAAGAGGAUUGGGUUGUAAUUUCUUGUAAUUAUUUUAGUAAUAUGGCGUUCUGCCUUCUGCACAUGACAUAGCCAUUUUUUUUUCUUGAACUAGAGAAGCUUUGAUUGUCAAACCAGCCCCUCAUGACAAUGGUUUCACCUACAUUUCCUGUACAAGUGAGAAUUCAGGGCUACAUAUGAGGCAGCCUGUCCCAACAGGUUCUGUAUGUAAAGAACUGGGCCAUAUGUAUUCUCAGCCUUUGGUUGAGAACAGGUCAAAUACUGAGACAUAUCUUAGUUGGACCACUGCUUCAGUUUCUUAUGAUAUUAAAAUCAAGGCGUUGCCUAAGGAUGGAAUCAUGUCAAAACAUGCCUGAACAGAUUCACUUCUAAGCUCACAUCUGUGGCUUUGCCUGAAUUCAAUUUAUCGAGAGUUGUAGGGUAAGAAUCAAAUAAUAUUCUGCCUGUUAAUAAGAACCCUACUGUUUCUUGUCAUGUGGUUUUUCUCAACAGAGCCCUUCUGCUGAGACAAAAACAUCAAGAGUGCGACGGUGAGAGCAAAAGGGAAGUCAUUAUGCUUUGUAAUCUAAUUGUGCAAGAAGCAUCCCUUCAUCUUUGCCUCAGGCUAUUGAAUAGGAGAUUAGAGAUUACAUAAGGCUAUGAAAAGCACAAUGCUGGGAUCAUUGUGGACCAUCUUAGGUACUUUGUCUACGGUCAAGGUAGAUUUUGAAGCUUAGCCCAAAUAUGUUUUCCUUUAGAUUUGUAAAGAGGAUUUUAAACAGGCCAGUGUGCGUUUUGUCCUUUGUGAUGCCGAGUAGUGGAAGCCUCAUUCCAUACCUUAAUUUUCUCACUUUAUUAGUUGCAUAGUGAUUUUUGCCUAUUUCUAACAAUGUUCUGAAUAAGUGAUAGUGUUAUCAUAUAAUAAAUUAUUCAGUUACAAAAUAAAUUCAUCUAAAUUUCUGACUAUGCAUCCCAGUACAAAGUUAAACAAAAUCACUAAGAGCUGAUGUUCUUUAUUUCUGUUCCAAACACAGAAAAUAUUCAGGCCGUCAUCAUAAAGUGUGAACAUAUUUACAGGCUAAGAAAGAGUACAGAUACUCUUUACCUUAGUUUAGGUUACUAUUGCUAUGACAAAAUAGUGUGGCCAAAAGCAAGUUGGGGAGGAAAGGGUUUAUUUCACUCACAGGUGUAUAUAACAACAGUUCAUCAUCAAAAUCAGUAACAGUAGUAACUCAGGCAAGGUAGGAACCUGGAGGCAGGAGCUGAUACAGAAGCCAUGAGGAGUAAUACUUACUGGCUUGUUUCCUAUGGCUUGCUCAGUUUGCUUUCUCAUAUAUGCCAGGACCACCAGCCCAGAAAUGGCCCCACCCAUAAUUGGCAGGGCCCUCCUCCAUCAACCACUAAUUUAAAAAAAUGCCCCACAACCAGAUCUUUUAGAGGCAUUUUCUCAACUGAGGUUUCCUCCUUUCAGAUAACUUUAGUUUGUAUCAAGUUUCCAUAAAAACGUCCAGCACACCCUGCACCAGGCUGAGAAUCAUCUUGUUUUACAUUUAUUUUAAUUUAUUUUCAUUUUGAGAAUUUCAUACAUGGACAUAGAGCCUUCAUCCAGCAAUUGAAGUAAGCAGAGGCAGAGAGCCACAGCAGAGCACUGGGCUGAGCUCCCAAAGUCAAGCAGGUAUAAUCUUUGAGAAGAGAAAGAGUAGAUAUCCGUGUUAGAAUGGGCUAAGAUGGUGUGGCAGAGGAGAGAGAGAGAAAGGGAGAAGGGGAAGGAAACAAGGGAAACUAGACAAGGGUGCUUGUCCUGGAGGGACAAAGGACAUCUCUAGAAAGAGAGGAGACAGACAUGGUACAUAGUCAAAUGGCAGUUUGCAAAGGGAAAGGAGAAACCCAGAUUAAGAAUAAAAUAUUUUAUUUUAAUUGGGCAUGUUGAAAUGGUGAUCCAAAGGGGCUUUUGAUUGCUGGAUUUUAAUACGUUGAUAGCUGUAUCUUGGUAGCAGGCCUUAAGGGAAGAGAGUGACAAAAUAAGGAAAUAGACCUUGGUUGGCAGCUUUAGGAAUGGAAUCUAACUUUUUAGCAAGACAGCAAGAUUGGAGGGAAAGGGCAAGGUCUGCCGCAGCCAUGCUCACCACACUCAAGCUGGGCACAGCCCCUUGAAAUGGAGCUUUAACUUCAAAUGACAUGAUUUUUAUAAAAUAUAUAGAGGAAGUAUGGAAGGAAGAAGGA
Molecule: long non-coding RNA, 9888 nt
Organism: Alexandromys fortis (reed vole)
Lineage: Eukaryota; Metazoa; Chordata; Mammalia; Rodentia; Cricetidae
Exons: 7
Source: RefSeq, a predicted model, not a curated record